RNAcentral lists this non-coding RNA (148 nucleotides) under Gorilla gorilla gorilla (western lowland gorilla). The record is from Rfam by way of RNAcentral. Lineage: Eukaryota; Metazoa; Chordata; Mammalia; Primates; Hominidae.
GCCGGGUGUGGUGGCAGGCACCUGUAAUCCCAACUACUUGGGAGGCUGAGGCAGGAGGAUAGCUUGAACCCAGGAAGCAGAGGUUGCAGUGAGCUGAAAUCAUGCCACUGCACUCCAGCCUGGGUGACAGAGCAAGACUCUGUCUCCA